Molecule: unclassified non-coding RNA, 135 nt
Filed under: Rhodotorula toruloides
Lineage: Eukaryota; Fungi; Basidiomycota; Microbotryomycetes; Sporidiobolales; Sporidiobolaceae
Source: RNAcentral
GGACGCCGGGCGUGCCGAACGUUUCUAGCAGGAGCGAAAGAUCAGCUUCGAGCGAGACUUCAGGCGGCUGAGUUGACGAGUUGCAGGACGCACCGAUGCAUGGGCACCAGCAAGACAAGCAGAACCCGCCAAAGU